RNAcentral lists this ribosomal RNA (459 nucleotides) under uncultured bacterium. Its description in RNAcentral is "partial 16S ribosomal RNA". It matches the Rfam family "Bacterial small subunit ribosomal RNA", at positions 338 to 795 of the family's 1533-position model. The record is from RNAcentral.
CCUACGGGCAGCAGCAGUGAGGAAUAUUGGUCAAUGGGCGGGAGCCUGAACCAGCCAAGCCGCGUGAGGGAAGAAGGUACAGCGUAUCGUAAACCUCUUUUGUCAGGGAACAAAGGCGGGGACUAGUCCCCGGAUGCGGGUACCUUAAGAAAAAGCAUCGGCUAACUCCGUGCCAGCAGCCGCGGUAAUCCGGAGGAUUCGAGCGUUAUCCGGAUUUGUUGGGUUUAAGGGGUGCGCAGGCGGCCUUUUAAGUCAGCGGUAAAAGCCCGGGGCUCAACCCCGGAGAGCCGUUGAAACUGGCGGGCUGGAGUUGGAGAGAAGUACGCGGAAUGCGCGGUGUAGCGGUGAAAUGCUUAGAUAUCGCGCAGAACCCCGAUUGCGAAGGCAGCGUACCGGGUCAAAACUGACGCUGAGGCACGAAAGCGUGGGUAUCGAACAGGAUUAGAUACCCCAGUAGUC